This is a long non-coding RNA of Symphalangus syndactylus (siamang), 353 nucleotides long. RefSeq lists it as uncharacterized. Lineage: Eukaryota; Metazoa; Chordata; Mammalia; Primates; Hylobatidae. The record is from RefSeq and is a predicted model, not a curated record.
GGCUUGCCACCAUCUGAGGAGAUCUGUGAGGAAGGACCCCUGGUAACAUUUUGGCGACCACGAAGGGACCUCCAAAGCGGGAGAAAGCAUUGAUGGUGAGGAGAAAAACAGCUGGUAUCACACUCUACCCAAGUCCCAAAAGCAGGUUCACAUAACUCCUGUCUUCAUUAUCUGAUAUCCGAUGAUAUGAUACGAUAUUUGGAAAAACCUGAAGUCACCACCAAAAUACUAUUAGAACUGAUAAACAAAUUCAGUAAAGUUGCAGGAUACGAAACAACAUACAAAAAUCAGGAGUAUUUUUAUGUGCCCAAAGUAAACAAUCUGAAAAAUAAAUCAGAAGAGUAAUCCAUUUA